RNAcentral lists this ribosomal RNA (253 nucleotides) under uncultured bacterium. RNAcentral's name for it is "partial 16S ribosomal RNA". It matches the Rfam family "Bacterial small subunit ribosomal RNA", at positions 524 to 776 of the family's 1533-position model. RNAcentral also lists the same sequence under 1 other name. The record is from RNAcentral.
UACAGAGGGUGCAAGCGUUAAUCGGAAUUACUGGGCGUAAAGCGUGCGUAGACGGUAGCGUAAGUCGGGUGUGAAAGCCCCGGGCUCAACCUGGGAAUUGCAUUCGAGACUGCUCUGCUAGGGUGCGGAAGAGGGGAGCGGAAUUUCCGGUGUAGCGGUGAAAUGCGUAGAUAUCGGAAGGAACACCAGUGGCGAAAGCGGCUCCCUGGUCCAGCACCGACGUUCAGGCACGAAAGCGUGGGGAGCAAACAGG